RNAcentral lists this long non-coding RNA (332 nucleotides) under Sorghum bicolor (sorghum). Its description in RNAcentral is "long non-coding RNA (SBIC_LNC000856)". Lineage: Eukaryota; Viridiplantae; Streptophyta; Magnoliopsida; Poales; Poaceae. The record is from RNAcentral.
UAUGGAGCUGAUCCCGGACCGAAAGAAGCAGCGCACCUACAUUAUUGCGACUACAACCCCCGAGUCCUUCGGGACCCAUGGGUUCGACAUGCUCAACCACAAGAGCCAACACAGGAGACAAGGUCGGAGAGCCAAGAUCACCAGUGGACAAACCCGCCUUUCCGUAUAGGCAGGUACUCCACUGAUCCAUAUGGAGCUUCAGGGUCCAGACCUCCGCCCCAAUUCAAAGCAGGAUGGUACUUCGACGCCUCUUAUGCUUUCACGAACGACUACUACCAAGAGGCCAGCGCUUUCUUCACCCGUACCGACAACACCCUCCUCGACAUCCAAAA